This 480-nucleotide ribosomal RNA is filed under the name uncultured bacterium. Its description in RNAcentral is "partial 16S ribosomal RNA". It matches the Rfam family "Bacterial small subunit ribosomal RNA", at positions 27 to 507 of the family's 1533-position model. The record is from RNAcentral.
GGAUGAACGCUAGCGGGAGGCCUAACACAUGCAAGCCGAGCGGUAUUUGUUCUUCGGAACAGAGAGAGCGGCGCACGGGUGCGGAACACGUGUGCAACCUGCCUUUAUCUGGGGGAUAGCCUUUCGAAAGGAAGAUUAAUACCCCAUAAUAUAUUGAGUGGCAUCAUUUGAUAUUGAAAACUCCGGUGGAUAGAGAUGGGCACGCGCAAGAUUAGAUAGUUGGUGAGGUAACGGCUCACCAAGUCAAUGAUCUUUAGGGGGCCUGAGAGGGUGAUCCCCCACACUGGUACUGAGACACGGACCAGACUCCUACGGGAGGCAGCAGUGAGGAAUAUUGGACAAUGGGUUAGCGCCUGAUCCAGCCAUCCCGCGUGAAGGACGACGGCCCUAUGGGUUGUAAACUUCUUUUGUAUAGGGAUAAACCUACUCUCGUGAGAGUAGCUGAAGGUACUAUACGAAUAAGCACCGGCUAACUCCGUG